RNAcentral lists this ribosomal RNA (555 nucleotides) under Pelobates cultripes (western spadefoot toad). Its description in RNAcentral is "SSU_rRNA_eukarya". It matches the Rfam family "Eukaryotic small subunit ribosomal RNA", at positions 124 to 590 of the family's 1831-position model. The record is from RNAcentral. Lineage: Eukaryota; Metazoa; Chordata; Amphibia; Anura; Pelobatidae.
UAUAUAUAUAUAUAUAUAUAUAUAUAUAUAUAUAUAUAUAUAUAUAUAUAUAUAUAUAUAUAUAUAUAUUUUUUUUAUUUUUUUUUUAUAUUUCUUUUAAUUGGGGUAGCCCCCAAAAUAUUGGGACAUAUAAAAAAGACAACUCUGUUCCGCAGAGUAGCUGUUGACAUUAUAGUUGCGCAGGCACUUUGUUGACUCUAGAAAACAUCGGGCCAAUCGCACAUCCCCAUAGCGGCGACUUUGCAUGCGGAUGUCAUCCAUAUCAACUUUCAAUGACAGUUUCUGCGCCUACCAUGGUGACCAAGAGUAACAGGGAAUAAGGGUUCCUUUCCUUACAGGGACCCUGAGAAAUGGCUACCACAUGCAAGGAAGGCAGCAGGCGGGCAAAUUACCCACUCCCGACGCGGGAAGGUAGUGACGACAAAUAACAAUACAGGACACUUUAGAGGCCCUGUAAUUGUAAUGAGUCCACUUGAAAUCCUUUAACUCUGAUCAAUUGGAGGGAAGACUGGUGCAGAGCCACUGACCCAUGCGUCCUGCAGCUGAAACUCCACU